This 91-nucleotide non-coding RNA is filed under the name Planctomycetota bacterium. RNAcentral's name for it is "Planctomycetes bacterium c-di-GMP sequence". It matches the Rfam family "c-di-GMP-I riboswitch aptamer". From Rfam's summary of the family: GEMM was predicted in a large-scale screen for bacterial structured RNA regulatory elements. Genes associated with GEMM are involved in a diverse array of functions, including chemotaxis regulation, signal transduction, secretion and chitin. Lineage: Bacteria; Pseudomonadati; Planctomycetota. The record is from RNAcentral.
CGCGAUAAAGGCAAGCCCCGGGCAAUCGGGGGACGCUAAGUAAAGGGCCUUUUGCUAAGACCGUAUCAAAAAGAUAGCCUUACUGCCGAAG